GAUGAACGCUGGCGGCGUGCCUAAUACAUGCAAGUCGAGCGAACAGACGAGGAGCUUGCUCCUCUGACGUUAGCGGCGGACGGGUGAGUAACACGUGGAUAACCUACCUAUAAGACUGGGAUAACUUCGGGAAACCGGAGCUAAUACCGGAUAAUAUAUUGAACCGCAUGGUUCAAUAGUGAAAGACGGUUUUGCUGUCACUUAUAGAUGGAUCCGCGCCGCAUUAGCUAGUUGGUAAGGUAACGGCUUACCAAGGCAACGAGGCGUAGCCGACGUGAGAGGGUGAUAGGCCACACUGGAACUGGAACACGGUCCAGGCUCCUACGGGAGGCAGCAGUAGGGAAUCUUCCGCAAUGGGCGAAAGCCUGACGGAGCAACGCCGCGUGAGUGAUGAAGGUCUUCGGAUCGUAAAACUCUGUUAUUAGGGAAGAACAAAUGUGUAAGUAACUAUGCACGUCUUGACGGUACCUAAUCAGAAAGCCACGGCUAACUACGUG
Molecule: ribosomal RNA, 497 nt
Filed under: uncultured bacterium
Lineage: Bacteria
Description: partial 16S ribosomal RNA
Rfam family: Bacterial small subunit ribosomal RNA
Source: RNAcentral